AGUAGGCUUCAUGCCCAGCAUGGAGUCCAAUGCGGAACUUGAACUCAUGACCCUGAGAUCAAGACCUGAGUUGAGAUCAAGAGUAGGCCACUUAAGCGACUGAGCCACCCAGGUGUCCCGUGAAUGCUAGUAUUUUAACACAGGCUUCCACCAUUCUGAGCCCAAUAUUCAAGGUCUCCAGUCUGCCAACAGUGGAGACUCCAAUCUGUCAAUGGAUCCCAACGUUCUAGAACCCCAGCCUGCCAACGUUGAACUUGCUCGGGUCCCUCAGUCUACAAACCAACACACCAGCAAGAAAGCAAGAUGAUCUCAACAUCCUAGGACUCCACAUCCCAGCAUCCUAGAACUCAGAGCCCAUCCUCUGAGCCCUCCAGGCUGAAGGAGGUGUCAGCCACGCGUAGCACCAGCCAGGUGCCCAACUUGAGCCUUCCCUGGUUGCGCCCAGCCAUCACACCACCAGACGAGAAUGUCACGGUCAAGGGCUGAAAGGUUCACCUGAAGCAGUAGUUGGUGUCCAGGGCUCGGCGGUGCCGCGAGCUGUGCAGGUGCUGGGCCCUCUCCAGUGGGGUGGCCAUGAGGAGCAGAAAAGGCCGGUUCAUGCCAUGAAUGGUGGCCAGGUCACCUCGGCGGCUGGAACUGAACCCUGCUUUGGUUUGGAGUUGUAGGGUGUGGGGGAGACAUAGACACACACUCUCAGAUGGAUGAAUGGGGGCAGGGGCAGGGGGAAGAGGACACAAGUGCACACACAUGCGCACACACGCGGGCAUGGGGCUGGGCCAGGGAGAUGGGCCUCACCGUUGAUGUCCACUUGCAGUGUGUUAUCUUUGCUGUCACAGGAACAGUGGGCACUGAGGCGAAAGCCCUCUACUUCCCCUGUGGGAGUGGGGAGUGGGAAGCCAGUGUGAGAUGCCAGGUGCUGUUCACACCCCCACCGUGGGUGGAGCAAACCCAGGGUGGAGGGGGUGUUGGGGCUCCCCCUGUCUCUUCCCCUGCCUGCCCUCUCCCUGCAUCCUCCUGCUCUUGGCCUUGCUUCCUCCUUCUCCUCCUUCAGGUCUCAGCUCAAAUGUCACCUCCUCCAGGAGGCCCUCCUGGACACAUGCCCCACCCCCACAGUGACAUCACUUUAUUUUCUCCAUAGCACUCACCCUCCUGACAUUCGCAUUUGGCUAUUUGUUUCCCUCAUUGUUCUCAGUGGAAAGCAGGAUACAUGGGGGCAGGGAUUCCUGUUUUCUUGCUCCCCGCUGGGCCUAGCCCACAGUCUUAAAAAUAAACAUCUACUGAGUGCACGC
Long non-coding RNA from Felis catus (domestic cat), 1289 nucleotides. RefSeq lists it as uncharacterized. The record is from RefSeq and is a predicted model, not a curated record. The transcript has 2 exons. Lineage: Eukaryota; Metazoa; Chordata; Mammalia; Carnivora; Felidae.